RNAcentral lists this ribosomal RNA (253 nucleotides) under uncultured bacterium. RNAcentral's name for it is "partial 16S ribosomal RNA". It matches the Rfam family "Bacterial small subunit ribosomal RNA", at positions 524 to 776 of the family's 1533-position model. The record is from RNAcentral.
GACAGAGGUCCCGAGCGUUAGGCGGAAUCACGGGGCUGAAAGCGUGUGUCGGCGGACUUGUAAGGACCUUGUGAAAUCCCACGGCUUAACCGUGGAACUGCUCGGUAUACUGCGAGUCUUGAGCCACUUAGGGGCUACCGGAACAAAUGGUGGAGCGGUGAAAUGCGCAGAUAUCAGGAGGAACACCGGUGGCGAAGGCGGGUCUAUGGGCCGAUACUGACGCUGAGGAGCGAAAGCGUGGGGAGCGAACAGG